Non-coding RNA from Salvia hispanica, 441 nucleotides. NCBI's taxonomy places the organism in Eukaryota, Viridiplantae, Streptophyta, Magnoliopsida, Lamiales, Lamiaceae. The record is from RefSeq and is a predicted model, not a curated record.
CACAAAUUCACUCAAAAUCAAGGAGUGCAGCAAGGAAACGGGAGGAGCAAGAAGGCGAGGAGAGACAGCGGCGAAGCAGGGCGGGGGGAGGACAGCCCUGAACCGAGAGGAUCCACCGAGUGAGGAUAAAUUGCUCGAGGGAAAGUGAGGUCAAAGCGAAUAAUUGAAUUGAAGAAUAAACAUUUCAGGUUGAACGUCAAGAGGAUGGAGUGAUGAUCGGAGUCGGUGUUGUUAAACAAUCAAGUUGAUCUCCCAACGGUUCGUGUCUUCAUACACGAAGUCGUUUAGUAAGGACUUAUUCCGCUGUGUUUUUGUGAUGUGAGAAUUGUAGAAUCUCACCAUCAACUCUGAUUUAUUUGAGGAGACGUUCAUUCUGUUUUCAAGACCAUGUAAUGAAAUACUCGGCUUCUAUGAUAUCAAUUGACUUGGUCUUUGUGUAAA